Molecule: ribosomal RNA, 632 nt
Filed under: uncultured bacterium
Lineage: Bacteria
Description: bacterial SSU rRNA
Rfam family: Bacterial small subunit ribosomal RNA
Source: RNAcentral
ACCGCUAAUACCGCAUAAGCCGGAAGGAUCGCAUGAUUCGGCCGGAAAAGAUUUAUCGGUGUGAGAUGGACCCGCGUCUGAUUAGCCAGUUGGCAGGGUAACGGCCUACCAAAGCGACGAUCAGUAGCCGGCCUGAGAGGGUGAACGGCCACAUUGGGACUGAGACACGGCCCAAACUCCUACGGGAGGCAGCAGUGGGGAAUAUUGCACAAUGGGGGAAACCCUGAUGCAGCGACGCCGCGUGAGUGAAGAAGUAUUUCGGUAUGUAAAGCUCUAUCAGCAGGGAAGAAAAUGACGGUACCUGACUAAGAAGCCCCGGCUAACUACGUGCCAGCAGCCGCGGUAAUACGUAGGGGGCAAGCGUUAUCCGGAUUUACUGGGUGUAAAGGGAGCGUAGACGGCCAGACAAGUCAGAAGUGAAAGCCCAGGGCUCAACCCUGGGACUGCUUUUGAAACUGCCGGGCUGGAGUGCAGGAGAGGUAAGCGGAAUUCCUAGUGUAGCGGUGAAAUGCGUAGAUAUUAGGAGGAACACCAGUGGCGAAGGCGGCUUACUGGACUGUAACUGACGUUGAGGCUCGAAAGCGUGGGGAGCAAACAGGAUUAGAUACCCUGGUAGUCCUCGCCGUAAACGA